UUUCCCUUUUCCCAAAACUCCUUAAUUCAUAGCUAUUUUCUCGUAAAUAAACCAUAAAAUGUUUUCUUUUUUUAUGUCAUAGUAACUCUCGUCAGGCCGGCAGGACAACUCACGCAAGUGGAAGGCAGGACGAGUCCCAUUUAACUCGACUGAGUUAACUAGGCCUCACAAAAAACUUAAUACAAGUUGCUCAAUUUUCACCGCUCUUACUCAAAUGGCAACACCACAAAUUCACCCUUCAACCAACUGAGUCAACUCGACCGAGCCACCCCCAUGGAAUGAGCGAAGGAAAAAUUUUUUUU
Molecule: unclassified non-coding RNA, 302 nt
Filed under: Hevea brasiliensis (rubber tree)
Lineage: Eukaryota; Viridiplantae; Streptophyta; Magnoliopsida; Malpighiales; Euphorbiaceae
Source: RNAcentral